RNAcentral lists this ribosomal RNA (513 nucleotides) under uncultured bacterium. RNAcentral's name for it is "bacterial SSU rRNA". It matches the Rfam family "Bacterial small subunit ribosomal RNA", at positions 18 to 518 of the family's 1533-position model. The record is from RNAcentral.
CCUGGCUUAGGACGAACGCUGGCGGCGUGCCUAACACAUGCAAGUCGAGCGGGGACAUGCGACGGAAGAGAAGUUUCGGAUGGAUCUGAAGAUGUAUGUUCUAGCGGCGGACGGGUGAGUAACGCGUGAGCAACCUGUCCUUCACAGGGGGAUAACACAGCGAAAGUUGUACUAAUACCGCAUAAGACCACAGCGGGACAUCCCGCAGGGGUCAAAGGAGCAAUCCGGUGAAGGGUGGGCUCGCGUCCGAUUAGAUAGUUGGUGAGGUAACGGCCCACCAAGUCGACGAUCGGUAGCCGACCUGAGAGGGUGAUCGGCCACAUUGGGACUGAGACACGGCCCAAACUCCUACGGGAGGCAGCAGUGGGGAAUAUUGGGCAAUGGGGGGAAACCCUGACCCAGCAACGCCGCGUGAGGGAAGAAGGUUUUCGGAUCGUAAACCUCUGUCCUUGGUGAAGAGGAAGAGACGGUAGCCAAGGAGGAAGCCCCGGCUAACUACGUGCCAGCCGCGGC